This is a long non-coding RNA of Petromyzon marinus (sea lamprey), 1696 nucleotides long. RefSeq lists it as uncharacterized. NCBI's taxonomy places the organism in Eukaryota, Metazoa, Chordata, Hyperoartia, Petromyzontiformes, Petromyzontidae. The record is from RefSeq and is a predicted model, not a curated record.
CCGCAUGUACCCCGUGCCGGCUCGCCAAUUCAGGGACAGGGGGUUGGCCCGUGCUCUCACGGAUGGUGGCGUUGAAGAGACAACACGGAUAUGCACUCAAACCUUUGGCAACCCUCUAUCGGAAUAUAUCUGUCGCAAACUCUGUGCCACGAAAUUUGAAUGUUAUGGCCAGGUCACUCCUGCAAGUGAGACUAUCCUUGUCGCUGUAGUUGUCACCCGGUGAAAUAAUAUACACAUUAAACGCAUUUAAGCUGCGACUGUGGUCACCCAGAACAGACCACGGGACGUAGAACGACUCAGUGCCCGAGAUUCACAAACACGAAGGAGGAGGCGCCAUCAACAGCGAUGAUUCAACCACCCCGCCACUCCUGACGCAAUUAUUUGGCUGAACCACCUCAAGCGCAAGAUUACAGCUGUCUCCCUACGUGAAUAUCAGCCACGGGAAGAUGAUUACACUCCUGAACUCUCGUCACCUCUGGAAUUAUGAACCGAAAAUUUCCGCAACGCUUGCGCUGCUGUGACACGCGCGCAUUUUGCCGGGGGGGGGGGGGGUUAUCUGGGAGGACACAUACCGUUGGAAGACACAAGUCUUGACUAAUCUCUCCAGCCAAUUUGGUAACACUGUGCGCUUUGUCUGGGUCUCUACGAGUCCUCAGCUCGCGGGUGGUGGGACGGGACACGGCGCUGGACAGAUUUCUCUCCUGUCCACCUUGGCAACGAGAAAGAUCGCGUCCGAGGCUUCACCGCCAUGAGCUACGACUUUUCGGGACUUCCCACGCUGACCAAGCUCAACCAAAUGCAGGCAACCUCCGUGCAUCGCGAUGGGUGACAUGGAGCAAUGGGGAACCCCAGGCCGUGAUCACAGCAGUGGCCUUGGAACGUGGUCAGCAUGGGCCCUCGUACAUAGAAUGGUGGGGGGGGGGGACCUUCGAUCCAAUUGCCCCCCCUACACUCUCAGCCCGGUGCAGUUGCACCGCCUGCGCUCUCCGAGAGCCACGCCGCCGGGGUGCUGCCACCUCGGGCCGGUGCAGUUCCCCCCUUAAAUUUCGAUUUAAAGCUUUCGUGACUGCAAGGACUCAUCUUCUUUGGUUCUUUCGGUAAAGUCACGUACCGAAAGAACCAAAGAAGAUGAGUUCCCCCCUUGUCAUGCGCGCGGCAAACGGCGCGGAGAGGACGCCGCCGACAACCCUUCGCCGCCACAGAGUGCCCACACUCUUCUUGGGAUUGUAUUAUGGGGUUGGUAUUGUGGUCGGGAUUGACAUUGUAAGGAAGAAUUGAUAUUGAGAUAUGGGUUGAUAUUUUCAAAUGGGUCUAGACAGCCAAGAGGAUUGUCUAAAUCAGUGGUUGCUCAACCUAGUUUGGCUACUGUACCCCCUUGUUGAAUGUUGUUCCAACCGAGUGUCCCCUCUUGCCUGACCCAACAUGGUUCUGAAAAAAAAAAUCAAUAUAUGAGUGAUGAACAUCAGUGUGUUAAUCAAUUGUCCGUUUUGUGAGGUAUCCUAACUAGCGAGCAACUGCAAGCAAAUAGAAAAAAAAAUGCAACGGGCCCUCUGCGUGCGUGAGGCGAAUUGUUCGCGAUCGAUGGUUGCUCUUGGAAACCAACAUUGUUUACAAUCAAUGAGUUUAGAAAGGUCUUUGAUGUCCGUUUAACACGUAGGCUUUCGCGACCAAUAUCAUCGAUAAAAGUUGUUUUGGG